AUCAAUUGUAUAUCUAAUAUUUUCGUUUCAUUUUCAAUUGCAAGCCUUUAAUUUUAAGCAGCCUGAAAAUAGGGACCCUAACUUUUUGUUUGUUUUCUGAGAAAGUAAAAUAGAACAUCCAAAAAAAAUGGUUCCGAGAGCUCUUCCCACAUCAUGGGAAUAUAAACAUAAAUAUAUAAAAAGUGAAAUAAGAUUCACAAGGGGCUCCAAACAGCCAAGCUGAUGAAAAUUAACAUUUUCUGUCCCUGUUUCCAUUUUUUUUUUUCCUACACUCAUUUGUUUGGAUUCUAGAAUUUUAUCAGCAGAGAACUGAUGAUUAAGUUAAUGAUUUUGCAAAGAGACGGGAUUGGAGACAAGACCGAUUAGCCGGUAUGCUCAUCGAGUAGGCCAAGAGGAUGGGGAUGUGAUUUACGAAUCAGAAUUUGUGAUUCCUGGUGACUUUGGGGAGAUUGGUGCGGUUCUAGUUCAGAAUGAAUACCGCAGCGAGAUGUUCCUCAAGUAUAUUGUCCUCAAUGGCCUCCCCAAUGGCCCUAUUGCAUUCAACUGCGGUUCAUGGGUUCAGUCAAAGUUUGAUGAUCCUGAGAAGAGGAUCUUUUUCAGCAACAAGGUUAGCCACCAUCUUCUACACCUCUCAUCAUCUCUAAGCAUAUCAAUGCUUGAUUAUUUGCGUAGGAUUAACUAAGUUCAGCCAUGCAUUAUGGAUUUUAUGAUUUUUUUUUUUUUUUUAAUUUGAAAAAUUAAUGUAAUUUUAAAAAAAAAAAAAAACGAAGAUAUUGAUGCCAUUGGUUUGUCCCAUUAAUCUAAUUGAAUAUAUAUGGUUGUAGAGAUGUCACUUCAUUCCCAUUAAAUGUCCACGUGCCGCAUGCCUUGACUUUUCUACAUCUAUUACAAGAAGCCUAACUAUUUGAUUGGACAAACAUUUCGAGGCUACUUUAUUUUAUUUUAUUUUUUAAGAUAAUGUUCAAUAUUUAUUAGUUUUUUUUCAUACAAUAAGAUGUAUAAAUUUAAAUUUAUUUUUUAUUUCUCUUCACCUCUUUUCUUUUUUUUCUUUUUUUUCUUUUUCAUAUUUUCGGACACAUUUUUCAAACCAAACAUAACAGCAAUAGAUUGGUCUUCAUCAUCCAUAGUAAAUAGCUUUAGCCAAUGAAUUCAAUCAACCAUAUAUGAAAAUCUCUUUUGGGUUCAUUGACAUUAAGAGAAGAUGACUUUUAAAAAUGACGCAAGAGAAUGGUCGACAACUUACCUACUUCUAUUGCGUGGAGCAAAAGCAAAUGAAAUUCUUUCGUGGGUUUUUUUAUUUGCUUCCAAAAUUAAUUUAAUUUCUUCAUAAAUAUAAUAUAGGGAAGUUGAAUGGUCAAUUUAACAUGAAAACCAAUUGCCACCCAAUAAAGGAAGUCAAGCCUAUUAAGGUAUUCAACACCACAUGAAAGUAGCCGAAGAGUCUGUUGCAUCGGGGCAUUAUGUUGAUGUGACCGAUUCUGGCUUGGUUCCUUUUCUUUCAUUUAAAUUUUUACAGACUGACUAUUGAAGGAUGGGAGGGAUAACUUGACAAAAUUUCAUGGAAUAUGAUGUUAGAUUUGAAGGAUUAAGAUGCCACCACUCUUUUGCUUAUGCUAGAUGUUAAAAUUACAAAGCAAUUAAUACAUAAAAUAACAUAAUUCUUUUAAAAUUUUUAAAAUAAUAAAAAUAAAAAAAAAAGUAAAAUAAUAUAAUAUUCUUUAAAACUAACAAAUAAUUCAAUCAAUAUCUUUACAUUUAAAUAUUAUAUAUAUUUUAUUUAAUAAAAUAUUUAAAUAUUAGUACAUCUAUAUAUUUAAUUUGAUCAUAUUAGAGAUGUAAAAAAUAAAUAACAUUAGUUUUUGAUUCCUUUAUAUGUGAUUAAUUAAUAUUUUUAUAAAUAUUUUAAAUUUUAAUAAUAUAUAAAUUAUUAAAUUGUAAAUUUAUGAGAUUAUCAAUUCAAUCACACUUCGACCACUAAUCCGACUAUUAAAUCAUGAUAGGUUUUUUUUUUUUUUUUUUUUUUUGUUCAAUUGCAUCAUUGCAACCUCAAUAGCUUAAUUCCAUGAAAAAGAUUCAGAUGCAUGUGUCCAAGAUGGGAAGCUGCUAAAUGACUCUUCAUAGGCAUCCUAAAACUUGAAGAAUGAGGAUGAUUCCAAUUUGCAACACCAGAUUAAAGCUUUCACUUCAAUGACAUUUUUGUGUUGUAUUAAAAAAUGACUUUGAAUCAUGAUAGACCAUAACUUGAUAUCAUCAAUAUUGAGAGCCUCAUUCAUCCUAGCGAGUUAUUUUGAUUUCUAAACCUUACUCAUCUUUUUUUUGUAUCAAACAGUCAUAUUUACCAUCACAAACGCCCAGAGGCCUCAAGGAUUUGAGAGAAAAAGAACUUGCAAAUUUGCGAGGUAACGGUGAAGGAGAACGCAAGACCUCCGAUAGAAUAUAUGAUUAUGAUGUUUAUAAUGAUCUGGGUAACCCUGAUAGCAAGUCUGAAUUGGGGCGAUCGGUACUAGGUGGCAAUGAAAAUUAUCCAUAUCCUAGACGAUGCAGAACUGGACGUGCACCAUGUCAGACUGGUAUGCAAAUUACAAUUAAACUUAUUUAUUUUUAGAAACUAGAAUCUAUCGUAUAAUAAUAAAUUGCAAUCAAAUUUGUUAAAUGGUGUAAGAAAUUUACAAGAAAAGAGUACAAAUUGAUAAUAAUAAUGAUGAUGAUGACGAAACAUUCCAUAUGUAGAAAUUGCAUAUGGUGGAAGCUCUUACACUUGAUAUGCUAUUAAUCGCAUUAAAAGGCUGACAUGGUUCGGUAAAUCAUUUCUAUGUCCAUGGAUAUGAGAAGAGAAAUCAGAUAGACAUAUCAUCCAAACUAUUAAUCACUCUCUUUCAUCAAUUAAUUAAGCAAUUUCCAUGAUGCAUGCAGAUCCUCUUUCGGAGACAAGGAGUGGCAGCUUCUAUGUGCCAAGGGAUGAAGAAUUUUCUGAGGUGAAGGAGGCAUCAUUCCUAACAAAGACAGUAGACUCGGUGUUGCAUGCUUUAAAACCGUCCCUAGAGACAUCCCUACUUGACAGUAAUCUUGGAUUUCCACUCUUCUCAGAUAUAGACCAAUUAUACUAUCAAGGAAUCACCAUUCCUAAGCUUAAAAAUCCAGGGCUUUUGCAACGUAUACUGCCCAGACUAGUGAAGGCCGUUUCUGAUGCUAAAGAUCGUCUCCUGAAAUUUGAAACCCCUGCAAUGUUUCUCAGUAAGAAAAAACCUUCACACACCUCCUCUAUUCUUUAUCACUAGCUAAAGUAUUUUUGCAUUUGCAGAGGACAAGUUUUCUUGGCUACGGGAUGAGGAAUUCUCACGCCAAACUCUUGCUGGUGUUAACCCGUAUAGUAUAAAGUUGGUUAUGGUAUGAUGAACAACUUUCCAUGCAUGAUCAUGUAUUAGUACUAGGAAGCAGUGAACAUUAAUAAGAUUGCGUGAGAAUGGUACUUCAUGCUAAUUAAGUUGUAUAAAAUCAUGCAGGAAUGGCCGUUGAAAAGCGCAUUGGAUCCUGAUGUCUACGGUCCACCUGAAUCGGCAAUCACCAAAGAGUUGGUCGAGCGGGGGAUAAAAGGCUUCAUGACAGUAGACGAAGUACGUACCUUUCCUCUCUCUUUCUUCCUCCCCUCCAUCAAUCUCCCAAGAAUUAAGUUGUCUAAAUUUGGGAACAUGAACGCAGGCAUUAGAACAGAAGAAACUAUUCAUCAUAGAUUACCAUGACUUGUUAUUACCAUAUGUGAGCAAAGUAAGGCAGAUCGAAGGGACAACACUAUAUGGCUCCAGGGCACUUUUCUUCCUAACCCCUGAUUGCACCUUGAAGCCUCUAGCCAUUGAGCUCACUCGCCCACCGAUGGAUGGAAAGCCACAGUGGAAGCAAGUUUUCACGCCCGGCUUGGAAGCUACAGAUCACUGGCUUUGGAAGUUUGCCAAAACCCAUUUCCUUGCUCAUGACUCCGGUUAUCAUGAGCUUGUUAGUCACUGGUACAUGUCAUUGCCCCGUUUCCCUUUCUAAUGCGAAAUCAUUUCUGAGAAGCAGUUUGACAAUACAGGAACUUAACAACUGCUUUGCUCAUUUUGCAGGUUAAGAACUCACUGUGCAACAGAACCUUACGUGAUUGCAACAAAUCGGCAACUCAGUGUGAUGCACCCAAUCUAUAAACUAUUACAUCCUCAUUUACGCUAUACAAUGCAGAUCAAUGCUCUUGCUAGAGAAGUUCUCAUCAAUGCGGAUGGGAUCAUUGAGACUUCAUUCUCAACCCGCAAGUAUUCUAUGGAGCUCAGCUCUGCCGCUUAUGACCAGCAGUGGCGGUUUGAUAGGGAAGCCCUGCCAGCAGACCUAAUAAACAGGUAUUCUGAUAACCAUAAUAAUGGAUGAUGUAAUUCAAAACUCCCAUAGAUGCUUCUUACUGAAAUUCUACAAAACCAAAGAUCAUUUAUUCCACAUUUUGUUUUCUAUCUCAUAAUAAGUUCCUUCAUACCUCUUUUUAAAUGAUAAAUUAUGGCUUAGUGAAGUGUAGAGGGCUAAUAAAAAAAUAGUUGCUGAAUUUCCACUUGCUAACUUUUUGUGGUUUCGUAAUUGCUAGGGGAAUUGCUGUUGAGGAUCCAAGUGCUUCCCAUGGCCUAAAGCUACUGAUCGAAGACUAUCCUUUUGCCAACGACGGUCUCAUAUUAUGGGAUGCCUUGAAACAAUGGGUUGCAGACUAUGUCAAUUACUACUACAAGGACGCGAGCAUGGUACAGUCUGAUCCAGAGCUCCAAGCAUGGUGGACAGAAAUCCGAACCAAAGGUCAUGAGGAUAAAAAAGAUGAACCAUGGUGGCCAGUCCUCCAAACACCAGAAGACCUCAUUGGAAUUAUCGCAACAAUAGCUUGGGUGGCCUCCGCUCAUCAUUCAGCCGUCAAUUUUGGACAAUAUGCUUUUGCUGCUUACUUCCCCAAUAGGCCUACCAUUGCUAGAACCAAUAUGCCCUCUGAGGACCCAACAAGAGAAGGAUGGAAACGAUUUUUGGACAAUCCCCAUUUUGAGCUCUUGGUAUGCUUCCCUUCACAGGUUCAAGCAACAAAAGUUAUAGCUAUUUUAGAUGUGCUAUCCAAUCAUUCUCCGGAUGAGGAGUAUAUAGGGGAAUAUAUGGAGCCAGCAUGGGGUGAAGAACCAGAUAUAAAGGAAGCAUUUGAAAGGUUUUCUGCGAGGUUAAAGGAACUCGAAGUAAUUAUUGAUGCUAGGAAUGCAGACAAUAGUUUGAAGAACAGAGGCGGAGCUGGGGUGGUUCCAUAUGAGCUCUUGAAGCCAUUUUCUGAAGCUGGGGUGACAGGAAAGGGAGUUCCUUACAGCAUCUCCAUCUGAGGUAGCUUUAGGAGUGAAGCUUCAAGUUCAUUGCAUGGCAGAGAUAACAUAAUAAUUGAUGUAAAAAGUGAAAAAAUGAAAUUUUUUCAUGGAAAAGGUUUCUUCUCUUCAUGAAGUAACCAAAACCCUAGACUAAUGAGCCUAGGCUAUGACUUUUUUUUCCUGUACCCAAUAAAAAACUGCCACGUAACAGAAAAGGUUUUUUUAUUUCAAUCUUAGCAAAGAUUUCAUUUCUUUAUAAUCAUAUCUCAAUUCUUUAUUUUCGGUCCAUUUCAUUUGAAAUCCACUACCUUACAUUCAAGGUCACACCCUAUAUAUACAAGGAAAAACAACCACUCCACUGACCCAUAACUUGGAGUUAGGGAUGGUAUCGCAGCUCACCAACAUUUUGUACCUUUAAUUAUCAACACUUUAUACCCUCAUUCAACCAUCUAUAUUUAAAUUAUAGAGCUUUAUUUUUACUUUUAUUUUUCCUUAAGGUCCGCAUUGAAAUCAAUCCAAAAUAAAUAUUCUUGGCUAUAUAGGAAGUAUGGAUGGUAACCAUAUAACCCUAUCGAAAAGGAUAAACAAUAGCCUCUCUUACACAGCCACCAACAUGUCUUUGCCCCCUUGUAGUUGUUGGAAAGUAAACUUGAAUAUAGGAUGUCUCUAAAAAAUAAAAUAGAAUUUGAUUUAGUUAAAUUUUAUAUUGAAAUAAUUGAGUCUUUCUAGAUUUGAUACUUUUUAUUAGGAGUUUUUAUUUUGUUAGAUAUGGGAAUAAAUAAGAGAUUUGUAAUAGUUAAAUGAGAAUGGUACGUAGGAGAUAAUAAAUUAUUCUUAAUUUUUCUCAAUUAUUUAUCUUUUUUAUAUUAUUUAAUUGUAAAUUUCACUUUAUUACUCCAAUGAAUCGGUAUAUUUAAAGAUAAUUAGAAUAAUUGAAGUACAAAUUAACUUAUUGAGGAGGAACUCAAAAAUUCCAAUGAUGGAUUUUUAUUAGAAUAAAACCCUUGAAAGCAUAUAUAACAUGAUUAUAACAUAAUAAAAUUUCAUUAAUAUAAAUUUAUUAUGAUUUUUUAUUUCUCUUUUAUCCUUGAUUGCAUUAUUUAUUAUUUGAGCAUUCACAUCUAUAUUUCUUCCCUCGUACAUAACUUUGGUGCAAUAGAAGUUAUAUAAAAGAUCCAAGUUAUAGAUUUCUUACGAUAUAAUAAGUAGUUCAUAGUUGAUUCAUGGAAUUAAAUAAUUCAUCAGAGACUAUAUAGUACACUACCUUUUAAUUCGAUGGAUGACUUAUCUUGGUCAUCAUAAUGGUUUUAUCAUAACAAAUACACUAAUGUGUGGUCAUACAUUAAACGGAACUUACAAUGAAUUAUGAUAUUUACUAUCAAAUAAUCAUAAUUUAUUAAACUACUAUAUCGUAUAGGUUCUCAACCUUAAGAGAAUAUCAAGAUAAUGAUGAGUUCUUCAAUGGUUUUGACUUAUAAGUGAGAUCUUAAGAUAGCCAUAUAUUCCCUACAAAUUAAUCAAGGCAAGUUGUAAUAGAUAUUAUUAAGAUAGACACCAUGAUAUAUAUCUCAUGAGAUUAAGAGAACAUGUCCCCUUGGGUGAUUUUAAGAAUAUGUGAUCAUGAAAUCUAUAACUAUAAUAAUUUUUUAUGUGAAAUUUGACAUAUACUCUUAAAGAGUUAAAGUAUCUUAAUUGAGCAUAUAAUAUGAGAAUAUGACACUUAAGAGAAGUUGAUAACAUUUAUAUCGUUAGAUUAUAAACACAAUUCAUAAGGAGCUUACAUGUAGUCAUUAGUAAGACAUCGACCUGAACUUUAUAUCUUGAUUUAAUAUCAUAGGAUAUUGAAAUGUGAUUAACUCUCUAUAGUAGAAUAUUGAAUCAAUUUUAAAAUUGGAAUCUAAAAAAAACAAUAUUUUCUUAUGGGUCAUAAUAGUUCCUACUUAAACUUACAUUUCUUGGUGGUACAGUUUUUGAGGAAUAUUUGGGUUCCUUAUUUAUGUGUGCUUAUAAUAUGACUCAUUUUGUCUUCCAAAAGGGCAAAACCCUAACCUUCAUCCCUAAGUGAGAAUUUCACCAUUCUCAAGUGUUAAGUACCAAUAAAAAGUUGUAAGGCAAAAGAUCAAGAUGUUUUUGAGAUCUAUACCAUCCUCUUUUGCAAAUGGAACUAAUCUAAGAACAUCAAUGUGAAAAGUAAAAUUUUUAUAGCCUUAAAUCUACAAUUUUGUCUUAUUAUUGCUUCCAUUGCAUAAAUCUGGUGUCCCUAGAUAUUUAUAAAGCAUUUAUCUCUCAUCUUGAAGCAUCCCAACAACUUUCCAUCUUGAUUGAUUAAGGUGGAAGUUGAUUAGACAUGCAUCUAUGACCAUGUCUUCUUGUGGCAGGUAAUGAACACCCUAUAUCUCCAUAAUUUGGCAAUUGUUCUACUAUUAGGGGGCACACCACAUGCUAGUAGAAUUUUGCAAAUCAAUUCGACGUUCCUGUAGUCAAUGAUGAAUAGAAAUGGCAAUUGGGCGGGUUUGGGACGGGUCACCCCUAUCCCAUUCCCGUCCCAAAAUAUUUGGUUAUUUCCCAUCUCGUCCCAAACCCGGGGCGGGGUGGGGUAUGCACUCCCUUCCCCGUUAUAAAGUUAAAAUUAAAAUCUCAUCCCCGGCCUGACCUGACUCGGGUAUGUGUCAUUGGGGCAGGACGGGGCAGGGCGAGAUAGGACGGGGCGGGGCGGGGCAUGAGUUAUUGAUGAAAACACAGUUGUAAAAUAUCUUUCUUUAACAAGAACAAUUGUAAAUCAUUUGAAGAUACCAGUUAACACCAAUGUCCUCGAUGUUACAAAUGCACCUACUACAAAGACAAUGAACAACCCAGUAACAAUAAGGAGCUACAAAGCAAGUAAAUUGCCAAUAAAAGGCUUGAUGAUGAUGAACAAAAAACUGAAUGCCCAUUAUAAGCUAUUCAAAUCCAAAUUAUUUCUGGAAGCAAGUUCAAGGAAUAAUUCUUCUUAAAGAAUUUUAGAAGAUUCUAAAUAUUGGAGUCAUUGUGAAUUUAAAAAAUAAUAUAUAUAUUUUUUCUAAGGUUAUGUGCCCAAUCACUUAAUUUCUGGACUAGUUGCAUGCAAUAACAAAUCACAUUGAAAUCAUACAACUUGAAAUCAUUUAUAUGAUCAUUAUAAAUUAUUCUUCAAUAAAAUUGCUUCUGAAAACAUUGAGAAACCAUGCUUCUUGAACAUGAUUUGAUGUUGCUAGUGUUCCUCGAUGACUUUUAGGUGUUAUUUCAACAAUGAACAUUGGUAUCUGGUCAUACAAAGAAAGAGAGAAAGGUUUAAAGUUUACUAAUUUACAUAUUUAUCAGAACUACAUAUCCAAUAAGAGAUGUUACACAAAAAAGCAUACCACAUAAGAAAGAACACCAAUACCAUAUCCUAGUAAAAAUUUGCCAAAAUCAAGAGAAACAGAUCCCUAUAUUGAAACCACUAGAGGGUUAAAUAUGCAUAAUAGUAUACAUAAAUAUAUCAAAAUUAUAAUUGAAAAGUGGACAUAACCUACAAAAGAUAAGUAGACUGUGAUCCAUCCUGCAAUACACACCAUGGAUGACAUUCUCAUGGCCUGAUUCCACCUACAAAGAAAUCAAGUUGUGAGAAAAGGUUUGUGCAGUAAUAAAUACCCAAAUAUGAGUGAUCUUGAUAGAGUAUCCUCUAAUCUUACCCCUUUUCGACCAAUGGAAUCAGCAAUCCACCCACUUGAAAUGGCAUCGAUCAUUGCACCAAUGGACAAUAUGGAUCCAAAAAUUGAGUACUGCAAUUGAUAUAAUUUCCCAUCAAACAUGAUAUUGAAAUUGGUGAAAUUUAUCACUGAUAACAAACACUUCGGCUUUUGGUCCAUUGCAGACUAAGUUGUUUAUGCACUAUGAUAUCAUGCAUAAUGAGGUAUGAAUUUAUCUAGAUAUAACAAUGACCAAAAAUGUUAUGAAGGCUCAAUUAUGAAGUUUUGAAUAAGAUAAGAGUUAAAAGUAGACCUGUGAGUAAGACAAUCUAAGCUUAUUCAUUAUGCCAUACUAGGCAGGUGCAGAGUGUCCUGCUUGCAUAGCCAGAAGCUUAUAAGCACUAAAAUAACAAAGUCCCACCUUUGCCAAUGGAAAAUCAUAUCAAGAAAAGAAAGAACAUAAACAGGUUCAGUGUUUUUCAUAAGAGGAAAAUUAAAAUACUAGAUACAAAGAGAAAGACAAACAGUUUAAAGAAUAAUAUAUUUUGACACCAACCAAAUGUAUAAUUCAUUGUGCAGCAAACAUCAUUGCAAUGACAAGCCACUAGAAUUAUUUUCUGAAAUAUGCAUUUCGUAACACAAAAAAUAGCCUACAACAUCAACUGUUUACCCAAUUCAUGAGUCUCAUCAAAUCAGAUAAUAUUAUGGCCAUUGAUUUCUGAAUAUGGCUAGUAGAAUGCUUUUUCAUAUUCUUUCAAGUUCAUUGACUCAGGAAAUCACGUUCAAACCAAAUGAGACAAGGACACCAUUGGAAGAAAUCUCAAUACUUACACAUGACCCAAAUUCGAAAGAGCCACAAACAACAACAAAUAUACUAAGAAGAACCAUCCAUAGACCACCAUUGUUUCCUGUCGCUUCCCAUGACUAUUGAAGGGGAUAUUUUCCAUUAGAUUCUUCCAGCUAAAGAUCACAAAAUUGAGAGCGAAUUAAUGGCUUGGCAAUGAUUAAUAAAACAAGUAUAGGUAAUGGGUGUGGAGACUGGUGAAAAGUAGCAACAAUGCAGGCCAAAAGAUCCCAUAAGAAUGAAAGUAGGACAAUUCAUGCAAUAAAUCAUUUUUAGAAUGAAGCAAAUUCCUAAAUCCCCUUUAACCAAGCUGGGCUUAGAAGGCCUGUUAAUGGCCUUUGGACUAGACUGACCAGAUCCACUUCCCAUAACACAGGAUUUCAAUCUGAAAUCAAAGACUUGGUUCAUUUGAGAAUUUGUACCUUCAUUCUCAGGGCAUUGUUAGCUUCAAUUAGCAUAUGUUCCUACACUCACAAUUUCUUAUCAAGGAGUCUACCUUACAAGUCUUGAACUUGAUUGUAAAGCAAGCGGUUCUUAGUUACAACCAUGGUAAUCAACACCAUAUAAGACAUCCCAAAAUACAACAUCCAAAAUUAAAAAAUAUCCAUAAGCUUAACAACAUUGAAAAAAAAAAAAACAUUACAAAGAAAUUGUUAGCAAAAUAUAUAUAUAUAUAUAUAUAUAUAUAUAUAUAUAUAUAUAUAUAUAUAUAUGUCUCUAAUAUCAUCUUAAGUAAAAAAUCUAAAGCACAAGUAAAUCAUCAUUUUCAUCCAUCAUUGUGAGUUGGAGUUGUGGGUCAUGAAUUGAUGAAUCACCUAGUAAAAAGAAAGCACCAAAAAAAAUUAGAAAACUUUACUAAAUAUUUUAAUAUAAAACAAUUCAUAAAAUUGAUAAUUAGGUAAAUUGGUUACCUUCUUUUUCCUUCCAUAACCAACUUUGAACACACAUUAAGGCCUCCAAAGUAUCUGGAUGAAGCCUACUACGAUGUUUUGAUACCACCCUACCACCCGUGCUAAUGGCUGACUCAGAUGCAACUGUAGAUACCGAAAUAGCAUAGAUAUCACGAACAAUCAUCUGCAAAGUCAGAUACUUAUUACCAUUUGUCUUCCACCAACUUAAAACAUCAAAAUUUGAAGUCUUUGACAAAAUAGACUCCUCUAAGUAAUAAUCUAACUCCGACUUCGUAUGACUUUCUCCAAUGGUACUAUGAACACAUAAGUCAAACUUUGAAAGAGGAUCUUGUUCAUCAUAGUUUAACUCCAAAAUAGUUGAACCUAAUAAAGUACCAUAGGAUGAAGUUUUUUGCCCCAACUUAGACUUUGAUUGGUACUCAGAAAGCAACUCAUAACACAUUCCACAUAUUUUUUCUAUCUCAUUUGAAGCUUCAGACCCAUACAUUAGUGGAAAGUAAAACUCUAAAAUCUUUAUUAUAUCUUAGGUCAAAUAUAGUUGUUAUUGCCAUCAUAAUACGACACCCACUCCAAUACUUGUCAAACUUUUGCAAUAUACUUGAUGUCAUCGUUUUCACAACAUCAUUUGAGCAAAUAAACCAAUCAUACAAUGUCUCUUUGAUCUCACACACUUUGAUGAAGAAAGUAUUUGCAGUGGGAUAAUUUCAUCCUAAGAACAACUUUGUUAUGUUGUAAAACAAUUUCAAUCUUCCACAUAUUUCCUUUGUCAUAUUUCAUUCUUCCUCUGAUGGCACAACCAUGUAGCAUAUUUCACGUUGCUUCAAACAUGGGAACACAUCUUUAUAUGUUAUAGCAAUUGAUAACAUCAAGUAUGUGGAAUUCCAUCGUGUCUUACAAUCAAGACUUAACUUCUUAUUGCAUAGAAUACGCAAUUGGAAAGUUGCAUCUUCAAACUUUUCCAUUCUUGAUGGGGUUGCUAACCAAUAUGCAAAACUCUCACGAAUUUUUUCAAUUUCUACUUCAAUGACAUCCAAACCUUCCUUAGCAAUUAAGUUCAACACAUGUGUCGCACAUCGCAUGUGAAAAAAAUUUCCACUCAAUAAGAGUGAAUGCUCAAAGAUAAUUUUUCCACCAAGAUAUUGAUCAUUCCGUAAUUACUUGAGUAAUUAUCCACAGUGACUAUAGAUACUUCUCUAUCCAUAUUCCAAUCCAACAAGAAAUCCAUUAAUACAUCUGAAAGAACUUCUUUUGUGUGUGGAAGAGGUACAUAAACAAACCUACAUCAAGAAAAAAAAACAUAUCAUUAACACAAACAAUAUCAUUAAAUGAUCAAAUAAAAAAACAUUUUGGAAGUUAAAAAAAUAACAUAACUAACCUUACAAUAUGAUGUUGCAAUAACCAAGACUCAUCAAUGUAAUGUACAGUGAUAGUCAUGUAGCCUUUCUUUUGAUUUGAUGUCCACAUAUCAGUUGUGACAGCAACUCUACUUUGAAGUUUCUCUAAGUAGCUAAUCAUCUUAUCUUUCUCAACCUCAUAAAUCUUCAUUAUAUCACUUUUAAUCGUAUUGCGGGAAACCAUCUUAAACAAGGGUUGGAGGCUAGUAGCAAAAUCUCUAAACCCCACAUGGUCAACGAUUGAAAGUGGGUACUCAUGCAAUAUAAUUGCAUGUGCAAGCUUCUCUCUUGAGAUUUCUUUAUCAAAGGUAAAACCACCAAUUUGAACUUUUCCAUGACCUUUUCUCUCUACUACCAAUAAUUGUUGCCUAAUAUCAACAUUUCUUCAUUUCAUGCACCUAUCUAUGUGUACAUGUAAAUGUUUUGUCCCAUUCUUGCUAUUGGCCUUGAGUUUUCCUUUAUAGUGCUUACAAAUAGCAUAAUCUUGUCCAUCUUCUAUGAUUUUAUCAAAAUCAUUCCAAACAACCGAAGUCAACUUUCUUCUUUUAGAUCCCAAUGUUCCAUCAGUAGUUGAAGUACUGCCUGUAAUUGGAGUUAAACCCACGCUUGGCAUGGAAAAGUUUUCCCUUUCUUCUGAUGUCAUUUUUCUUAAUAUGAAAUAAAGUCUAUAAGUAAAACAUUCAAACCCAAAUUAAUAACACUUCAUUACCACAUAUUAAUUAGAUGGAUUUCAAAGCUCUUUUCCUAGUGUUGCCAAAAAAAAAAAAAAAACAAUGAGUUACACAGGCACUCGAACUGAGCACCUUGUGUAUGUUAUUUCUUUACUAUUGGGGUUUGGGACUUGACAACUACUAACUAGUUAGUUCCACAUGAGCAACAUGUUGAAAUCAGAGAAAAAAAAUUAGGAAAAAUACCACACCUUGUUGUCACCAGAUUACAGAUCUACAGUACGUUUGGACUCUCCAAAUUUUCUGAUUAAGUUGCAAUUACAAUGAUCCAAAUAAGAAGGACAAUCCCAAAUAUCUCAUCCAAAUCUCUCAUUUUUUUCCCUAGAAACUGACAAAGAAACACCCUAAACCAAACAAAUUAACAUUCAAAAAAAAUAUCAAACGUUCAAGACACAAAAAAUAAAACAAAUAAAUACAAAUCAACAAAGAAUCAUACCGGUUUGUAGAUACAUGAAGAUAUGAUUCCUAUGGAGAAAAUGGCAGUAGCGUAAACUGAUGAGACUGCUAGUAGUUGUGAAUAUGAGAUAAACAAGGAUGAAUCGAGAGUAGAUGGAGGAAAUGAGAUUAUUGAAUGGAUUUUCAAAUGGAUUAGCUGAUGGAUUUCUGCAUUAAGUGGGAAGAACAACCCUAGCGUCAAGAGGAACGAAAACCCUAAAACGAGAUAAGAAGACUUGAAAUGAUAAGAUGAAGCAAAUAUUUAUAGUUGGGGGGUAAAGUUGUAAUUUCAUAUUCGGGGCAGGGUGGGGCAGGUCAAAUUAUUACUAAACCCGAUCCCGCCUCGAACCCGAUUUGGGUUAAAAAAAAAAAAAACUGAACCCGGCCCAUCCUUGAUUUCUAUGUUCCCAUACCCAUUCUAAUAAGGGCAGGUGACCAGAAAAACCAGCAAAAUUGUCAUUCCUAAUGAUGAAUGACAAAGAACUCAGAAAAAAUAAAUGAAAAAAGAUGGAGAAAAAAUAAAAAAUACUCAAGGAAUCAUAAGAAAAAAAAACUAGUUUAUGCAUUAAGCUUUUGGAUAACAGAGGGAUUAGAUUAAGAGUCCGUUUGGCAGUGAUUUUUAAAAGUGUUUUUACCCUUAAAAACACUUUUAAGUGUUUUUGGGAUGAAAAUAAAGUGUUUGGCAAAUUUUAAAAAACACUUUUAAAAAUUUGGAAAAACACUUGAAGUGAUUUUUAGAGAAUCCCUUGACAAGUGUUUUUUUUUUAAAUUUUCCAAAAAUGCCCCCCCCCCCCGUGAUAAAUCAAUUAGAAAAAUCUUUUUUCUUUUUUAGAAAUUAAUAGGUGGUCAUAUAUUGUUUUACUUUUAAAAUUAUCUUUUAUUCAAUCUUUUUUUUUUUAUUGAUUUAGAUGUUUUUUGUAAAUAUUUUUUAAAAUUUUAGUAUAGUGAUAAAAAAUUAUUAUUUUUAAUUAGAAAAGUCUUUUUUUUUUUUAGAAAUUAAUAGGUAAUCAUAUAUUGUUUUAAUUUUGUUUUAAUUUUAAAAUUAUCUUUUAUUCAAUAUUAUUUUUUUAGUGAUUUAGAUGUUUUUUCAUUAAUAAAAAGUUUUUUUUGUUUAUCAUACCAUUUUUUUUAAUUAAAAUUGUAUGUCCUUUUAGGUAAUUUAUUAAUAUUAAAAGUGUUUUUAUAUUUAUACAAUAUAUUAUCAAAAACACUUUAGAAUCAUUUUUUCUGAUUAUCAUAAAAGUGUUUUUCACAUAAACACUAUAGCAGAAAACACUUCAAAUAAAAACACUUCCACUAGAAUCACUAUCAAACGGGCUCUAAAUCUUGAAAAGUAACAGUAAAAGAGGAACAAUUCACAUAAAAGAAGUAAAAAUUAUAAAUAAAAAAAAUUAAUAAUAAUAAUAAUAUAAAAAAAAAUCAUCUUAUUCCAAUAACAAAUUCUCAAAAACUAUUUUUAGUAUAAAAAACUAAUCAAACAAAUUUUUAAAAUUUAAAAACUAUUUUCUAUUUUCUCUUCUAAAAAGAAAAAAUUAUUUUAAAAAUAGUUAUUAGACAAAGCCUAACUCUUUCUCUUUUUUUAUCAUAAAAAAAUACAAAUAAAAAUUAAAUAAAAUGUUUUCACACACGUUCAUUCUAAGUAACAUAUUAAACCCGUUUUCAAUUUCACGAGUCGGAGAGUUUAAAAUCAAAAGUAAAAAUUAUUUUUUUACUACCACGUUUUAAGUAUUCUCAUUUUUUUAAAAUAGAAGCUAACGACCGACGCGGGCCUACUUGUACCUUAAAAACCUAUAUAGUUUGGAGCAUAUGAUAUGAGAUGUUCACAAGUUGUUUUUACUUUUUAUAGUGGAGGAAGAUUCCUUCAAAAAGAAAACGUACUCCUUUUUACUUCAAACUUGUAACCACUUGGACUAGUGCAUGCACUUGCUUUAACUUACCCUAUCAAAAUCCAAUUUUAAAUAUUCAGUAGCUUAACUUAUCAUUAGAUCAAACAAAGUUGUCAUUAAUUGAAAAUUUAAAAAUUAAAAAUUAAAAAAUAGAUAAAUAAAAGAGAAAAAAAAAAUCCUAUUGAAGUCUUAGUCAUUAGAUCAACAUAUUUCUACAGAAAAGAGAAAAGUCUUACAAGUUUGACUACAAAAAUUUUAAUAAGAUUUUUACUUUUAUUUCUAUUUUUUAAAAGAGAUUUAAAUUUAGGAAGCCGAAUAAAUUAAAAACGAUAAUACGAGUAAAUUUCUUUCACAAUAACAAGAUUCAUAAUACAAAUGAAAUUUGGUUGUGGUCUCAAAUACAACUCUAUUAAUAAAUAAUUAGCUUGCGUGGCUCAUGAGUGCGCACAACCUUAUCCACAAAUAUGGCUAAUUGGAUCAUAGGUAUCACGUGCGUUUGUACAACCAUCUUUGAAAUGUAAAUGGGAAUAAUGUCAAUGUACCUUCUCUAUUAAAAAUAUUAAAUAUCCAACUUGUAUGAUUUUAAACAAACACAUGCCCUUAUACAAACCUAUAUUUGAAAAACCGAAAUCCCUUGUGCCAAACCACAGCUCUCUCUCUCUAGGAGAAGAAUGGAAAUUGGCCAAGUCAUCGUGACCCAUCUGCUUAAAUCACAUCAUACAGAGUCAUGCUUACUAGUCUUCGAAUUGUUAACAUUAACCACAAUGUUUUAAGUUAGAUUUAAUUUCCCAUUUGACUGUAAUUAAGUUACAUCAACAUUGCAUGGAACAAUUCAAUGGAUUUGAAAGGACUAAUCAAUUGGCCUAAUCCUUCAAAAAGCAAACCUAAUCCUUUUUUCUUUAAACAAGUAACCACUUGGACUAAUACACUCAUUUGCUUUCAACUUAUCAUGAUAAAAUUCAAUUUUAAUACUUUGUGAUGUUGAUAUUACAUCUAACAAAGUUAUCAUUCCUUGCAAAAUAAUAAUAAUAUAAAUAAUAAAAUAGACAAAUAAAAGGAAAAAUCUUAUUGAACUAUACAUGCUUUUAUAAUUUUUAUAUGAUUAAAAUCGAAUUUCAUAUUUAAUGAUUAAGACAGUUUAACUCAAAAGUCUUUUAUGUUACUUCACUCCUAAACCUUUAAGGGGCUUUCAUACUACCAAUACUAAUUAAGUCUCAGUAACACUUGAACCUAACUAUAAGAAUGAAUUUAGUCAUCAUAUCUAUGGGAUUAUCCAUUAUAGGGAUUUUUUUUUCACUGCAAUAGCACCAUGUGCAAUCACAUUCCUAAUAAAAUAACAUGAAUAUGUUUUAUCCUCUUGUAGAACAUUUGAUUCUUGAUCAAAUGUAUAAUACUUUAGCUAUCACAAUACACAAUAGCCAACUCAUGUUGUAAACCUAAAUCGCCAACCAAACCCUUAAGCUAGCCAAAUAGCUUCUUUCACUACUUCUAUAGUUGCUAUGUAUUUUGCUUCUAUUAUUGACAAAGUAAUUUAAGAUUGUAAAGUUGUUUUUCAAUUAAUAACACUACAACAAAAAGUGAAUAUAUACCCUAUUGGAGACCUUCUAUCAAAAUUUCUAGCAUAUUAAGAAUCAACAUAACCAAUAAUUAUCCUAGAAACAUCACUACUUUUAAUAUAUACUAAACCAACAUAUGAUGUUCCUCUCGAGUAUCAAAAUAUCCAUUUCACUAUUUGUCAAUGAAUCCUUUCAGGGAGAUCUUUAUAUCUACUUAUCACAUUAACUGCAUGUGAAAUGUCUAACAUAGUGCAAACUAUAAUAUAAAUAAUGCUUUCAACUACACUAGCAUAAAUACCAUGUGGUAUUUGUUCUCCCUCUGCAUUGAUUUGUAAUUAUAAAGCACUUGAAAGUUCGAACUAAGCUAUCAGUGAAGUACUCACUAGUUUUUACUCUCACGUUCCAAAAUUAAAUGUUCCAACACCUUUUCAAUGUACUUUUUCGGACUAAAUACAUUUUUUGUGCUUCUCGGUCCUAUGAUUAUACUUAAUAUUUUCUUUGUAAUUAGAUAUUUCCUUUAUAAUAAUUGAAAACUCCUUCACACAAAUAUGUCUUGUUAUAAAAUUAUUAAUUUUUUUAAUUAACUUAAAAUAAAAUGUAUGUACAUUAAGGUUUUGAACUUGAUUUUGACAUCGGAGGCCUGUUUGGCCCUUCGGGCAUUAGGUAUCGACCUUUGCCCUAAUUCCUCGUCCAUUCUUUUAGGAUCAGCAAAGUACGAAACUCACAUGCCAUUAAUUGAAUGCUCAGAAUCCACCUCAUCUAGAUCCCAUGGGUUAGAGCAUGGCCUUCUAAACAUUGCUGUAGCAGUAAUUACUUGCACUAAAUGCAUUAGUGCAAGUAAACCACAACAGCAAUGUGGGCAUGCAAAUCCUGCCUUGUAAAUAUCCAUUCACAAAGUUUCAUUGUAUGUAACACGUUUUUAACAACUAAAAUAUUUUAUUUCUUUGUUUAUUUAGUAUUGGAGAUGAAAGGGAAGAUAGGAAGGACUAGAAUGGGGUACCUUCGAGAAUUCCAGUGAAAGUUUCAGAUUUUCCACGAUUUGGAGAUGAAGUAAUCCCAUGGAAAUGUUAAUGAAAAUUCUAAGGAAGAAAAAAAAAAGUGGGAAUUAAAGAAACGAGAAAAACAUCUCCUCUAUAAAAAAUUUUCCUUCCUUUCCAUGAACACGGCAUUGCGAUGGUACGACGUCAUCCACGCAUGGCCGCCUACCACGCACUGUGUUAUUUGACUUCGUUUGAUUAUUUUAAAAGAAUGAUUUGAGUGUCCCCAUGUUAGGGUUUUGAAGGCAUGAAGGUGGACAACCAAACACAGAGAAAAAGAAGAAAAAAAAUUCACCAUCGUUAUGUAAACUGAAAGAAAUUUCCGUACAUCCCAGAUUGAAUUUCAAGUUAUUUCACAAGGACACGUCUCUCGUUCCACUGCUCUAUAAAGACAGAAUCCACCUCGUAAUGGGUCUUAUCUCAAGCCAGGAAAGUUAGACAUCCAACUAUCCAAGGCACACUUCAACUACCACUCAAACUUCCUAUCGCAACCAACAUGUCCAUUUCUGUUAAGGCAACCGUUACCGUGAAAUUAACCAUUGGAGGCUUCCUGUCGAGCUUGGUUGGGUUGAGCCAUCGGCUCGAUGAUAUAUCAAGCUUGCUCGGUAAAUCACUCCGGUUAGAGCUUGUUAGUGCAGAUCUUGAUCCUAGUAAGUAUUUUAUCAUAACUGAUCGAUUUUACAUAUGAUAGUUUCGUUGAGUUCAUGAAUCCGAGUUCGAUUUAAAAGCCGGACAGCUGCAGUUUUCUGCAGGAAGAACUAUGCAAUUGCAAUAGCCUUGCUUUGCUGCAUGUUUUUUGCCCCCUGUUUUGUUAAUAUCAAACACAUUUUCAGUCAAGAAAAUAAAAUUUAAGCAGCAUGGAAAACGGGUGCGUCAUGAAGAUCAUGCGAAGGAGGUUUAGAGCCUUCCUGACCAUGUGUUGACCCCUUACUUUUUGUUUGUUUUCUGAGAAAGCAAAAUAGAACACCCAAGAAAAAUAACAUAGAUAUAUAAAAAGUGAAAGAAGAUACACAUGAGGCCCCAGAUAGCCAAGGUAUUGAAAAAUAACAUUUUCUGUUCCUGUUUCCAAUUUCUUUUAGUCCAAUUAUUUGGUUGAAUUCUUAAAUUUUAUCAGCGGAGUACUGACAAUUUUGUUAACGAUUUUGCAAAGAUACGGGAUUGGAGAAAAAACCGAUUGGCCGGUAUGCUCAUCGAGUAGGUCAAAAGGAUGGGGAGGCUAUUUACGAGUCAAAUUUUGAGAUUCCUGGUGAUUUUGGGGAGAUAGGUGCAGUUUUAGUGCAGAAUGAACUCCGCAAUGAGAUGUACCUCAAGUAUAUAGUCCUCAAUGGCCU
RNAcentral lists this long non-coding RNA (19156 nucleotides) under Vitis vinifera (wine grape). RNAcentral's name for it is "long non-coding RNA (VVIN_LNC001679)". The record is from RNAcentral. Lineage: Eukaryota; Viridiplantae; Streptophyta; Magnoliopsida; Vitales; Vitaceae.